AUGAGGGACGGCGUAGAGUGGGUGAGGGUGCACUCUCCAGGCCGCGACUCCCUCCUCGUCGUCGCCGGCCAGCCACUCGUGGCUUGGAGUAACGGGAGGCUGCACGCGCCGGUGCACAGGGUGGCCGUCGGCGGGCGGGAGGACCGGCUGUCCUGCGGCAUGUUCCUGCUUCCAAGCAAGAACCUCGUCGUCGACGCGCCGCCAGAGCUGGUCACCGUGGACGCCCCGCGCCGGUUCAGGCCGUUCGAGUACAGUGACUACCUCAGGUUCAAGCACGCCGGCGGCAACGGCGAGAACGUGCUCGACCGCUUCGCUGAGAUUUGA
This 324-nucleotide ribosomal RNA is filed under the name Triticum aestivum (bread wheat). Its description in RNAcentral is "partial small subunit ribosomal RNA". The record is from RNAcentral. Lineage: Eukaryota; Viridiplantae; Streptophyta; Magnoliopsida; Poales; Poaceae.